This 33-nucleotide ribosomal RNA is filed under the name Tylenchorhynchus zeae. RNAcentral describes it as "partial 28S ribosomal RNA". The record is from RNAcentral. Lineage: Eukaryota; Metazoa; Nematoda; Chromadorea; Rhabditida; Telotylenchidae.
UUUUCGACCUGAACUCAGACGUGAAUACCCGCU